CAGCUAGUUGGUGAGGUAAUGGCUCACCAAGGCAACGAUCAGUAGCCGGCCUGAGAGGGCGGACGGCCACACUGGGACUGAGACACGGCCCAGACUCCUACGGGAGGCAGCAGUGGGGAAUUGUUCGCAAUGGGCGCAAGCCUGACGACGCAACGCCGCGUGGAGGAUGAAGACCUUCGGGUCGUAAACUCCUUUCGAUCGAGACGAAUUUCUCCGGGAUGAAUACUCCCGGCGAGUGACGGUACCGAGAGAAGAAGCCCCGGCUAACUCCGUGCCAGCAGCCGCGGUAAUACGGGGGGGGCAAGCGUUGUUCGGAAUUACUGGGCGUAAAGGGCUCGUAGGCGGCCAACUAAGUCGGACGUGAAAUCCCUCGGCUUAACCGGGGAACUGCGUCCGAUACUGGAUGGCUAGAGGUUGGGAGAGGGAUGCGGAAUUCCAGGUGUAGCGGUGAAAUGCGUAGAUAUUGGGAGGAACACCGGUGGCGAAGGCGGCCCCCUGGACCGGUACUGACGCUGAGGCGCGAAAGCGUGGGGAGCAAACGGGAUUAGAUACCCCGGUAGUCCACGCCGUAAACGAUGGGCACUUGGUGUCGCGGGUAUCGACCCCUGCGGUGCCGAA
This 618-nucleotide ribosomal RNA is filed under the name uncultured Acidobacteriota bacterium. RNAcentral describes it as "SSU rRNA". It matches the Rfam family "Bacterial small subunit ribosomal RNA", at positions 242 to 850 of the family's 1533-position model. The record is from RNAcentral. Lineage: Bacteria; Pseudomonadati; Acidobacteriota.